UAGGGAAUCUUGCGCAAUGGGCGAAAGCCUGACGCAGCAACGCCGCGUGAGGGAUGACGGCUUUCGGGUUGUAAACCUCUUUCAGUGAUGACGAAAAUGACGGUAAUCACAGAAGAAGGUCCGGCCAACUACGUGCCAGCAGCCGCGGUAACACGUAGGGACCGAGCGUUGUCCGGAUUUAUUGGGCGUAAAGAGCUCGUAGGCGGUUGCGUAAGUCGGAUGUGAAAACUCAGGGCUCAACCCGGAGACGCCAUCCGAUACUGCGCUGACUCGAGUCCGGUAGGGGAGCAUGGAAUUCCUGGUGUAGCGGUGAAAUGCGCAGAUAUCAGGAGGAACACCAGUGGCGAAGGCGGUGCUCUGGGCCGGUACUGACGCUGAGGAGCGAAAGCAUGGGGAGCAAACAGGAUUAGAUACCCCCGUAGUCC
RNAcentral lists this ribosomal RNA (425 nucleotides) under uncultured prokaryote. Its description in RNAcentral is "bacterial SSU rRNA". It matches the Rfam family "Bacterial small subunit ribosomal RNA", at positions 355 to 796 of the family's 1533-position model. The record is from RNAcentral.